This 654-nucleotide ribosomal RNA is filed under the name uncultured Actinomycetes bacterium. Its description in RNAcentral is "bacterial SSU rRNA". It matches the Rfam family "Bacterial small subunit ribosomal RNA", at positions 36 to 702 of the family's 1533-position model. Lineage: Bacteria; Bacillati; Actinomycetota; Actinomycetes. The record is from RNAcentral.
CCGUGCGGGUGCUUACACACUGCAGUCGAACGAUGAAGCUGGAGCUUGCUCCGGUGGAUUAGUGGCGAACGGGUGAGUAACACGUGAGAAAUCUGCCCUUGACUCUGGGAUAACUGCGGGAAACUGUAGCUAAUACCGGAUACUUUCCCUGGUGGGCAUCCACUGGGGAAGAAAGAAUUUCGGUCAAGGAUGAUCUCGCGGCCUAUCAGCUAGUUGGUGAGGUAACGGCUCACCAAGGCGACGACGGGUAGCCGGCCUGAGAGGGUGACCGGCCACACUGGGACUGAGACACGGCCCAGACUCCUACGGGAGGCAGCAGUGGGGAAUAUUGCACAAUGGGCGCAAGCCUGAUGCAGCAACGCCGCGUGAGGGAUGACGGCCUUCGGGUUGUAAACCUCUUUUAGCAGGGAAGAAGCGAAAGUGACGGUACCUGCAGAAAAAGCACCGGCUAACUACGUGCCAGCAGCCGCGGUAAUACGUAGGGUGCAAGCGUUGUCCGGAAUUAUUGGGCGUAAAGAGCUCGUAGGCGGUUUGUCACGUCUGCUGUGAAAAUCCAAGGCUCAACCUUGGACUUGCAGUGGGUACGGGCAGGCUAGAGUGCGGUAGGGGAGAUGGGAAUUCCUGGUGUAGCGGUGGAAUGCGCAGAUAUCAGGA